Molecule: long non-coding RNA, 324 nt
Filed under: Chinchilla lanigera (long-tailed chinchilla)
Lineage: Eukaryota; Metazoa; Chordata; Mammalia; Rodentia; Chinchillidae
Description: lncRNA (ENSCLAG00000024883.1)
Source: RNAcentral
CUCCUUUCGAUUUUCAGACAGCCUCUCACUCUAUAGUGUAAUGCACCAUCAACCCAGCCUAGCCUAGCCCUAAAGGACGGUUGGGCUGAGGGGAUCACACCAAGUAGACUCAUCUGAAAACAUCCCUUGGGGAAAUGUGGUGCUCCCAGAGUAGAUGUCACUACGCCAUUUCAAAGGAGCUGAAGGAAGAUUGCUCCUGUGUGCCUUGCUUAAAGAAUUUACUGGACCAUGCGCUUCAAACACCCAACAUGAUCCGAGAGCAAUCAGCACAGUGACUGCUGGUAAGUAUUCAAUUCAAUUGCUUACAGAAUUAGAUUACACAGA